This 253-nucleotide ribosomal RNA is filed under the name uncultured bacterium. RNAcentral describes it as "partial 16S ribosomal RNA". It matches the Rfam family "Bacterial small subunit ribosomal RNA", at positions 524 to 776 of the family's 1533-position model. The record is from RNAcentral.
UACAGAGGUCCCAAGCGUUGUUCGGAUUCAUUGGGCGUAAAGGGUGCGUAGGCGGGUCUUUAAGUCAGGGGUGAAAUCCUGGAGCUCAACUCCAGAACUGCCCUUGAUACUGAAGGUCUUGAGUUCGGGAGAGGUGAGUGGAACUGCGAGUGUAGAGGUGAAAUUCGUAGAUAUUCGCAAGAACACCAGUGGCGAAGGCGGCUCACUGGCCCGAUACUGACGCUGAUGCACGAAAGCGUGGGGAGCAAACAGG